Molecule: ribosomal RNA, 370 nt
Filed under: uncultured eukaryote
Lineage: Eukaryota
Description: partial 18S ribosomal RNA
Rfam family: Eukaryotic small subunit ribosomal RNA
Source: RNAcentral
CAAUAGCGUAUAUUAAAGUUGUUGCAGUUAAAAAGCUCGUAGUUGGACCUUGGACCUGGACAGGCGGUCCGCCUCACGGCGUGUACUGUCUUGCUGGGUCUUUCCUCUUGGUGAUCUGUUGUUUCGGCAGCAGGGAACCAGGACUUUUACUUUGAAAAAAUUAGAGUGUUCAAAGCAGGCUCGACGCCGGAAUAUAUUAGCAUGGAAUAAUAAGAUAGGACGUGCGGUUCUAUUUUGUUGGUUUUUGGAAUCGCCGUAAUGAUUAAUAGGGACAGUCGGGGGCAUUAGUACUCACAUGCUAGAGGUGAAAUUCUUGGAUUUUGUGAAGACUAACUUCUGCGAAAGCAUUUGCCAAGGAUGUUUUCAUUAA